AUUGAACGCUGGCGGAAUGCUUUACACAUGCAAGUCGAACGGCAGCACGGGGGCAACCCUGGUGGCGAGUGGCGAACGGGUGAGUAAUACAUCGGAACGUGCCCGGUCGUGGGGGAUAACGUAGCGAAAGUUACGCUAAUACCGCAUACGAUCUGAGGAUGAAAGCGGGGGACCUUCGGGCCUCGCGCGAUCGGAGCGGCCGAUGUCAGAUUAGGUAGUUGGUGGGGUAAAGGCCUACAAAGCCGACGAUCUGUAGCUGGUCUGAGAGGACGACCAGCCACACUGGGACUGAGACACGGCCGAGACUCCUACGGGAGGCAGCAGUGGGGAAUUUUGGACAAUGGGCGCAAGCCUGAUCCAGCCAUUCCGCGUGCAGGACGAAGGCCUUCGGGUUGUAAACUGCUUUUGUAUGGAACGAAAAGGCUCUGGCUAAUACCUGGGGCUCAUGACGGUACCGUAAGAAUAAGCACCGGCUAACUACGUG
RNAcentral lists this ribosomal RNA (484 nucleotides) under uncultured bacterium. RNAcentral describes it as "partial 16S ribosomal RNA". It matches the Rfam family "Bacterial small subunit ribosomal RNA", at positions 30 to 507 of the family's 1533-position model. The record is from RNAcentral.